CAUGCAAGUCGAACGGUAACAGGUCUUCGGAUGCUGACGAGUGGCGAACGGGUGAGUAAUACAUCGGAACGUGCCUAGUAGUGGGGGAUAACUACUCGAAAGAGUAGCUAAUACCGCAUGAGAUCUACGGAUGAAAGCAGGGGACCUUCGGGCCUUGUGCUACUAGAGCGGCUGAUGGCAGAUUAGGUAGUUGGUGGGGUAAAAGCUUACCAAGCCUGCGAUCUGUAGCUGGUCUGAGAGGACGACCAGCCACACUGGGACUGAGACACGGCCCAGACUCCUACGGGAGGCAGCAGUGGGGAAUUUUGGACAAUGGGCGAAAGCCUGAUCCAGCAAUGCCGCGUGCAGGAUGAAGGCCCUCGGGUUGUAAACUGCUUUUGUACGGAACGAAAAGCCUGGGGCUAAUAUCCCCGGGUCAUGACGGUACCGUAAGAAUAAGCACCGGCUAACUACGUGCCAGCAGCCGCGGUAAUACGUAGGGUGCAAGCGUUAAUCGGAAUUACUGGGCGUAAAGCGUGCGCAGGCGGUUUUGUAAGACAGUGGUGAAAUCCCCGGGCUCAACCUGGGAACUGCCAUUGUGACUGCAAAGCUAGAGUGCGGCAGAGGGGGAUGGAAUUCCGCGUGUAGCAGUGAAAUGCGUAGAUAUGCGGAGGAACACCGAUGGCGAAGGCAAUCCCCUGGGCCUGCACUGACGCUCAUGCACGAAAGCG
This 710-nucleotide ribosomal RNA is filed under the name Comamonas sp. 4D-W-12. RNAcentral describes it as "bacterial SSU rRNA". It matches the Rfam family "Bacterial small subunit ribosomal RNA", at positions 54 to 761 of the family's 1533-position model. RNAcentral also lists the same sequence under 6 other names. Lineage: Bacteria; Pseudomonadati; Pseudomonadota; Betaproteobacteria; Burkholderiales; Comamonadaceae. The record is from RNAcentral.